AACGAACGCUGGCGGCAGGCCUAACACAUGCAAGUUGAACGCUCUAGCAAUAGAGAGUAGCGCACGGGUGCGUAACACGUGGGAAUAUGCCCUUCACUACGGAACAACGUCGGGAAACUGACGCUAAUACCGUAUAAUGACUCCGGUCCAAAGAUUUAUCGGUGAGGGAUUAGCCCGCGUCUGAUUAGCUAGUUGGUGAGGUAAUGGCUCACCAAGGCUACGAUCAGUAGCUGGUCUGAGAGGAUGAUCAGCCACACUGGAACUGAGACACGGUCCGGACUCCUACGGGAGGCAGCAGUGAGGAAUAUUGGACAAUGGGCGCAAGCCUGAUCCAGCCAUGCCGCGUGAAUGAUGAAGGCCUUCGGGUUGUAAAGUUCUUUUAAUGGUGAAGAUAAUGACGGUAGCCAUAGAAAAAGCCCCGGCUAAAUUCGUGCCAGCAGCCGCCGUAA
This 449-nucleotide ribosomal RNA is filed under the name uncultured bacterium. RNAcentral's name for it is "partial 16S ribosomal RNA". It matches the Rfam family "Bacterial small subunit ribosomal RNA", at positions 29 to 523 of the family's 1533-position model. The record is from RNAcentral.